CUAUUCAGUUAUAGCACAACCCUAGCUCUGGAUGAAGACAUCAACUCGGGACUAGUCUCUCUGAAAUGCCCCAGUCAGAUCCACAGUCUCAUUAAGCCUCACAGCUUCUUGUCUUUCAAUUCUGCUCUGAGAAAUUCCCUGGGGAUCUGGCAGAAGGCCACUGUCAGAAGAAAGGAGCUAUGUUGUGUUCUCAGCUACCUGGUUGAUUCUAUAUGCAGCCUCUCCUCUGGGCAUGGUCUCAAGACCCACAUGGACCAGAAACAGAAAGCCACAGGUUUUCCUGUGCUUCAGUCUCAAGCUGGAGGUGUUGCAGAUUCCCACUCAGAACAAGCCACCAACUUCCAAGGAAGGGAUCUCCAGCUCAGCCAACUCAAGACCAGAGGGCAGCCAUUCUCUUGCCACAAAGAAAACACCUGUGCAACCUCAAAGGUCCUGCUCUAGUCAGGAUGUGGCAGUGGCUGCUUGCAGAUGCUUUGAAGUCCUCUGACACAGGGAAGCCAUCACCCAGAGGUUACCAGGUGACAUAAGUGCAAGUCCAACAGGUCACAGAGAGCACAGUUGCUUCCCCCUUGAAGAAACCUGCAUUUACCAACCAGGUGAGGGAUCCAAAUAGCACUCAGAGAAAUGAAAAUGAGACAAUUUAAACAUGCAAGAAGACUCACCACCUCUCCAUCAUUUAAAAUGAAAAAUUUACCAAGCUCCCUGGCAAAUCCAGGGAGAGG
This is a non-coding RNA of Marmota flaviventris (yellow-bellied marmot), 722 nucleotides long. Lineage: Eukaryota; Metazoa; Chordata; Mammalia; Rodentia; Sciuridae. The record is from RefSeq and is a predicted model, not a curated record.